ACAUCAGCGGCAGACGGGUGAGUAACACGUAGGUAACCUACCCCAGAGACAGGGAUAACCCUAGGAAACGAGGGCUAAUACCGGAUGACCUCCGGAAGGAGGAAAGGCUCAGGCGCUCUGGGAGGGGCUUGCGGCCCAUCAGCUAGUUGGUAGGGUAAAGGCCUACCAAGGCGAAGACGGGUAGGGGGUGUGAGAGCACGGGCCCCCACAAUGGGACUGAAACACGGCCCAUACUCCUACGGGAGGCAGCAGCAGGGAAUAUUGCACAAUAGGCGAAAGCCUGAUGCAGCGACGCCGCGUGAGUGAAGAAGGCCUUCGGGUCGUAAAGCUCUUUUGUAGGGGAAGAGGAAGGACGGUACCCUAAGAAGAAGCGUCGGCUAACUACGUGCCAGCAGCCGCGGUAAGACGUAGGACGCGAGCGUUAUCCGGAAUUACUGGGCGUAAAGGGCCAGCAGGCGGCUUGGUAAGUUGUGCGUGAAAGCCUCGUGCUCAACGCGAGGAAGCCGGACAAUACUGUCAAGCUAGAGGGCAUCAGAGGGGAGUGGAAUUCCCGGAGUAGCGGUAAAAUGCGCAGAUAUCGGGAGGAACACCGAUGGCGAAGGCAGCUCCCUGGGAUGCACCUGACGCUAAGAGGCGAAAGCUAGGGGAGCGAACAGGAUUAGAGACCCUGGUAGUCCUAGCUGUAAACGCUGGGUGCUAGGUGUGGGACGUGGAAGUUCCGUGCCGGAGCAAACGCGAUAAGCACCCAGCCUGGGAAUUACGGUCGCAAGGCUAAAAGUCAAACGAUUUGACGGGGCCCGCACAAACUAGCCGGAGCGUGUGGUCCAUUUCGAUGCUACACGGAAGACCUUUACCUGGGGUUUGACAUGGUACGUGUUACGAAGGCGAAAGCCUAAAGGACCCUUCGGGGAGCGUACACA
This 920-nucleotide ribosomal RNA is filed under the name uncultured organism. RNAcentral describes it as "bacterial SSU rRNA". It matches the Rfam family "Bacterial small subunit ribosomal RNA", at positions 89 to 1034 of the family's 1533-position model. The record is from RNAcentral.